AUACGGAGGGAGCUAGCGUUGUUCGGAAUUACUGGGCGUAAAGCGCACGUAGGCGGCUUUUUAAGUCAGGGGUGAAAUCCCGGGGCUCAACCCCGGAACUGCCCUUGAAACUGGGAAGCUAGAAUCUUGGAGAGGCGAGUGGAAUUCCGAGUGUAGAGGUGAAAUUCGUAGAUAUUCGGAAGAACACCAGUGGCGAAGGCGACUCGCUGGACAAGUAUUGACGCUGAGGUGCGAAAGCGUGGGGAGC
Molecule: ribosomal RNA, 247 nt
Filed under: uncultured bacterium
Lineage: Bacteria
Description: partial 16S ribosomal RNA
Rfam family: Bacterial small subunit ribosomal RNA
Source: RNAcentral